GUCACGCGUUCGUCGGAUGCGUCUCUCGCCUCGUUUCCACAGCUGACUUGUCCUCACCAGCGGGGCGCGGUGGAUGACGUCAUCACUGAGCGUCCGUAGGUUGCAGCUGCUGCAAGAAGAACGUCAAGUCAGGGGGAAAAACACGUCCAUCUGAUCCAGGUUGAGGUUUGCUCACAAACUGCAUUUCAGACCAGCUUAAAGGUAGAAGCGCUGACUGCGAUUCCAGUAUGACUAGCCAGAUGACCUAGAAGAACUAUCAGAGACGGCCUUGGGUGACAGCUAUUGGAAUGAAAAGCAUUCUGCAUAAUAUAUCACUGUAGCAUUCUUAGUAUUCUAAGUAUUGACACAUCUCACUACAGCCAUCUAUGUAGCCUGCUAACCUUUCCACGUAUCAGGAUAAUUCUUUAUGUUUACAUUUCUUUGGCUAGAAAUCUCCUCACUACCUCUGUAGGUGCUUAUAUUUAGGGUUUACUUUUACACAUCAGACAUACAAUAGAUCACCUCUGCUAGUCAUGUGUACAUUUGUGAUGUCUUUUGAGGAUCCACUCAGUGUCACCACAAACAGCACAAAAACGUUAGUUGAAACGGACUGCAAUGAUACAUCAAAUACCCAAGAUGAAUGUGAUGAGAACAAAGAUGAGACAUUGCCCCUGGACCAGACGUCAGAAGAAAAGAUGCCUGUGCAGCUGUUCAUAGAGGAUACACAGUCUACAGGGGAGAUUAACACAGAGGAGCAGAACACUCAUCACCUCAAUGCCAACAGCUGGUGCAUUGCAGUUGUUACUGUUGUGCUCUGCCUGUUGUUUUUCCUCUAUUACUGCUUUUAAUCUGUACCUCAACGCAUGACUGGACAUCCAAUUAUGAAGAAUGAUGACGAUUGUCACAACAGUUCUUCCAGAUUUCUGAAAACGACAAAUAGUAGCAAUAGAAACUCUUUGGGGGAAAAAAAAAACAGUUCCCAAAACUGGUUAAAACGGAAGCAUCAUCCUUAUUAAGAGCUGUUACUGAAGAUUGUUCCGCAGUGUCUAAAAUGCAGAAAUACAAACAUAAAGAAUUUGCCUUUUGCCUAUUAUAACCAUCUUUUCAAGGCACGUCACUUUUGAAUAUUCCUAAAAAUACCCUACAUUCCAUUAUGAUGAACAUUUGUCCUCAACUCCCUAAGUCAUCAGAGACAUCAGUGGACUAUGAUGUCAUAAUGUCUCAGUCGGAAACUUCUGCUCUAUGGAUUGGUGGGAAGGCGAAUUUCAAAGAACCGACAAGUGAUGAUGAAGAAUGACAUUGUUUACUUAGACAACUUCCUGCGGCCAUAUUACCUAAUGGAUGUGCCAGUCAAUUAUUUCUUUCUCUACCAAUUAUGGGGCAUAAUGACAAAUGCUAUUUAUAUUAGUAUGAGCACAUUCUUUACACCAGGUAAGUAUGUAAUAAGCAUAUCUGACAGAUCAUCUAUAUCCUAUGUACUCGGCAAGCACCUGGAACUACAAGUGUCAUGAUGUCUGCCAGUGUGGUUGGAUUGAUGUAGAUGAUUUUGUUUUAAUGGUUUAACUACAGUUUGCCUUCAUUGCUGGACAAUAAUCUGGUCUUUAAAUGUUCUACAAUAGUAAGUCAUAUUGCUGAACAUACAUGGUUAUUGGCAGCUCUUUUUACAGGAUCCUCAUGAGAUCCAACUGCUGCUUAAUAAUCACUUAAGUAUAUAAGGUGGCUACCUGCUUAUAUAAUGAAUAAGCAUACGGCGGUCCAUCUGCAUAAAUGGCACAAUGAUAAUAUGUAUGUUGAGUGGAUCAAUAAUACCGUAAAGUAUUGAACUGUGUAGACCUAUAUCUCUCCACACUUAUAGCUGGAAGCCCUUACUUGGGCUCUUCUUACCACCUGUGUCUUCUUGUGCACUGUAUAUGUGAUCUAUAUACACAAAAGUUACUAUUGCUAUGUACGAUGAGAAUGCUCCAUGUAGCAUAAUGACAUAAUUGUGCAAUUAGCAUAAUGCCCCAGACUUAGUAAUGCUUUCUAACUGUCUAACAGUGCAUACAUAGACUUGACAGUCUGAAAAUGUACCAAAUGUGCCGUUUAUCAUGUGACGUUAAGGCCAAAUAUUAGCUGACUUUUCUUACUCCAGAGUGUUCUGCCAUAUUUUAGUACAAUUUUAGUAUACAGAGUCAACCACCAACCAUGCCCCUUUCAUGUGAAACCAUGGCCAAUUUUUGCAAAGCCACACUCCUUUACCAUGAGAGACGCAAAAGUAAGUCUUCAUAAAUGAGGUGCAAGUCAUAUAAGCUGGCACAUUUGCAAUACUAAAUCUGCCCCAAUGUUUUUUCAUCUUUAUAUGGCCUAGUUAUGGGACCAAUUUUCUUAUGUACCAGGGGCAGCCUGUUGACCCCCAGAAUUGGGGUCUUGUUAUAAUUGCUAGUAUACUAUAUAGGGAAAUGCCUAUAGCUACACCACUUUUUCUUUCCAACAACAAAGAUAGAAAAUAUCCAAUUACAACACUAUCCAAGAAUUGAAGGUAAGUAACCCCGGGUGUAAUGUAAUUCAAUAACACACCCAAAAUAAAAUUCUUACAUCAAACCUAUAGUCAUAAAAUCUAUAUUUAUUUAAUUACCAUUAAAAUCAGGAACAUUAUUAAAAGACAUAAUACAUGAUUGUGGCAAUGAGGUGUACAACUAACAAAAUCAAAAUGUUAGAUGGUCAGUAUAGUGAGCGUGCUAAGCUUAUGUAGUAGGGAGUUGUGGGUAGAACAGACUCACAGAUAGGGUCCUGGGGUUGCACUGGGGCCUGUGUAUUUAUUUUUCUUGCCUCUCUUUUAGCUGCAUGACCCUAUCUGUGAGUCAGUUCUACCCACAACUCACUACUACAUACGUUUAGCACGCUCACUAUACUGAGUGUAAGAAUUUUAUUGUUGGUGUGCAACAACAAAGAUAGGCCACAAAGGUCCCUUAGAGAUACAAACCUGCUAUUUAUUUUCACCGGUCUUCCUUCUCUUUUUCUAUCUUUACUCUAUUAGGACCGGUGUAAUUUGUGACUAACUCAUCUACACUGCUUUGUGUAUUGUAUUAGAGUAACAUUAACCACUGCCUAAUAUGUUAUGCUGGGGGCCGAGGAUGUUGCAUCCUUUCCGUACCUAUCUUUCUCCAUGCUGUAGACCAUGUUCAGAUGGCGGAAUUUCUGUGCGGUAUUCCGCUGAAGAAAUUCGGCGGAAAUUCCGACGAGGUUUUCUGCCCAUAGAAUUUAAUGGGAUUCCGCUGUCCAAUUCACACAGUGGAACUUCCGCAGUGUCAAUUCUGCCACGGAAAUUUCGCAUUCUACAAAAUUAAACACCAGUCUUUAAAGGGGUACUCCACCCCAGACAUCUUAUCCCCUAUCCAAAGGAUAGGGGAUAAGGUGUCUGAUCGCGGGGGUCCUGCCGCUGAGGACCCCGCGAUCUUUGCAGCACCAACCGCCAUCACUACAGAGCAAACUGGCUCUGUGCAUAAUGACGGGACGAUGCAGGGGACGUAGCAUUGUGACGUCACGCCCUGACCCCUUAAUACAAGUCUAUGUGAGGUGGCAUGAUGAUCGCCAUGCCCCCUCCCAUAGACUUGUAUUGAGUGGACUUGUAUUGAGUGGGCCGUGACAUCACAAUGCUCCAUCCCCUGCAUCGCCCUGUCAUCACACACAGAGCCAGUUUGCUCUGUAGGGAUGAUGGCGGGGUAACGCUGCAAAGAUCACGGGGGUUUUCAGCGGCGGGACCACCGCAAUCAGACAUCUUAUCCCCUAUCCUUUGAAUAGGGGAUAUGAGGUCUUGGGCGAAGUACCCCUUUAAUAUUGUGGAAUUCUGCUGCAGAAACCCAAUUAAAGUUAAUCGAGCUUUGAAUUUCAGCGGCAUUCUGUGUUUUGAUAACACAGAAUUCCGCUGAAAUUCCGCCGUGUGAACAUGGCCUUAUACUACAGCUCAGCUUGUCUAGACUGGCUGCAGUGCAUCAGCACUGGCAACGACAAACAGAGCAGGAAGAACAUGGAAAGCUGGUGUACAGCAACAAUAGAAUUAUUAUAUACUACAAGUAACUAAGUCACAACCUAAUAAAUGAUCUACUGAGACUAUUUACUAUAUUUGCUAUCAAUAAUGGGAGAUCUUAGUGGUACUAUCUAAUUGUUACUUUGUUAAAGGGGUUAUCCAGGAAUAGAAAAACAAAAAACUAAGUACAUUUCUUUCAAAAACAGCUCCACGUCUGUCCCCAGGUUAUUUGUGGUAUUACAAGUUGGCUCCAUUCCCUUCGAUGGAACUAAACUCCAGCACCACACCCAACCUGGAGACAGACGGUGAGAGGUUUUUGAAAUAAAUUAGCUCUGUUUUUCUAUUUCUGGAUAACCCCUUUAAGGCCCUUAAUUGAGAUCCUAUUAACUAAUGGUCAAAGUAUACAAGAUAAUAUUAUGUGUUAUUCUUAGUAGAUUUAGGAGCAUUUAAAAAAACACUUUUAAUAUAAACCAUCAAUUUUUCAGACAUUCUUUUAGCUAUAACUCUUAAAGGGGCUUCCCGGAAUUUACUUUUGAUAGCCUAUCUUUUUUUUACAGACCAUCAAUGUUAGAUUGGUGGGGGUCCAAUUCCUGGAACUGAUCAGCUGAAUUAUGGGGCUGCUGUGCAUGAGUGAGCACUGAGUCUGCUUGUUUACCAGGCAGAUUGCUAAACAUUUGUUUGUGGUUAUGUUUAGUAUUGAAGCUCAGCCUGGUUCAUAAUGGGAUUGAGUAGUGGUGAGCUACAGUACCAGACACAGGUCAUACAAAAUAUUUGGGGCUGGGCCUGGUAAACAAUGAUAGGGAUGCAACACUUGGUGAAGUGCUAUGUACCCUUUAAUAAGUGGGGGUGUCAGGAGUUGGUCCCCAUGAAUGUGAGAUGGUCUCUCCAAACCCUAGGUCAUAAAUAAAGGUAUGGGAAACCCAUUGAAACAUACCAAAAGUGAGAAAUUAAUCAAUCAGUAGAGAUCUUUUAUAUAUUUUUGAUGAUUCUAGAAGGAUAAAUCUGCCUUGUUUUGUAUGGAUAUUUAGCUUGUGCCUUUAGUGUUUAAUUGCAUAAUAAAUUCAAAAGUCUAGGACAAGUAGAUGACAAACCCUAUAGGAGCCAUAAUGCCUGAGGUCAUAUUACUUUAGAGGGGUGAAACAAUUUUACUUUAUGAACAGAAAUGUUAAAUAUUGAUACAAAGGAACAGCUGAAAGGCUUAUACUCCGGGCAAUAUGUACAGCUCGUGCGGCACUCGGACAGAAGACACCCCAUUAGGGUGAUUCCACAAGUGUCAGAACUUUUUCAUGUAGCUCUGUCAUAAAUACACAGCAAAAAAUGCAUGUGUUAGAUGUGGAUAUGCUGCAGUUUUACAAUGCAUUUCACUCCUAUUCGGAUACAAAUUCACAACAUAAUAAACGGCUUCGAAUCAGCAGGUAACUUUCGAAGCUGUCCUAACCCAUGUGGAUUUAACCAGAAGGGGUAAUUGUAUUUUCUCCCUAAGCCACAGCAUGGGGUAGCAACCACAUUUUUUUUACUAACUAAAGUACGGCCCUCCCUCAUCAUUGCUGCCCAAGGCACCGGUCCAUAGGUUCCCAAUGGUAAAUAUGACCCUGCUUAUAUAGAUUAGUUGAUUGUCUCUGUUUUUAGUUGCAAAUUAACACUCCUCAAGGAGGAAGAGAACUGUCACUGUACUGCCACUUUUAAGUAACUACCCUAUAAGGCAGUGUUUACCAAGGAUGGUUCUCAAGUACCCCUUAACAGGUCAUGUUUCGAGGAUUUCUUUAGCCUUUUACAGGUGAUAAAAUUAAAGGGAUUGCAUCAGGCACCAAUAACAAAAACCAAAGAAUCCCCAAGGAAUUCCCAAGGAAAUAAUUAUAAUCACAAAACUUUUUGAGGCCAUAGCCCCUCUGGGACUGAAUCCCUUUAACUAAGGAACCCCCCUCCCCCCUUUUUCUUUUUAAAGUAUUUACUGUAUAUCUUUAUUAUAUCUGCAUCAAAAUAUUCCUGUGUUCUCCUGUAUACAGUGCAGUAAUUUUUGAAAAAUGUUAAAUUACAAAGGGAUAUAUAUGACACUUGUUAUUCAUUUAUUGCAGUGGAGAGGAUAGUUAUUUCACUCUGUAUGAGAUUGCCUUAGUCAAACUGACUUCAUAUAAUGGAAGAGUGCACUUUAUCUUCAGAGCAAGAUUUACUAUCUCUUCUUCUUAAAUUAAGAUGGCUCCCUUUGCUUGCUCACAGCUGUACCUCCCUGGCGUUUCGCUAGACUUAGACAGCUGAGUUAAGGACCGAGUGCGCAGCACUGUUUCCUCAGCCCUUGUCUUAAAAAGGGGGUUCCCUAGUUAAAGAGAUUUAGUCCCGGAGGGGGUACGGCCUCAAAGGGUUUUGUGAUUAUAAUUGCAUCAGGCAUCAUCACAAUUAUAUCUUCUGUGAAAGACUAAGGAAAUCGUAAAAACUUGACCUGUUGGAGGUAAAACAUUCCUGUAAGCCAAAGUUUGACCCAUAAAAAAGCCUUGGAACAUGACUCAGGAUUUUAGCCAAACCGGACACCCAUCUGUAGACAGCUGUUUCAGGGUCAUGGAGCAUUUCUUGUAGAACUUAAUUAGUUCAAUUUGACAUUUUUCAAUAUUGAUUGUUCCUUAGAAUAUCAAUGACCUGAAAGUAUAAAGGGGUUGUGCAGCUUUCCCUUUAAAGUGGUACUCUGCUGGAAACAUCUUAUCCACUAUCCAAAGGAUACGGGAUAAGAUGUUAGAUUGCUGCCGCGAUCUCUGAUCCGUGCCCGAUAACUAGCGCUCCUCCCAAUUCACGUCUAUGGGAGGAGAUGUGACGACUAUGUACCAGCCAUCACGACCCCUCCCAUAGACAUGAAUGGAGGGGGCGCGGUGUGACAUCACGAACACGGAAGCUGCAAGCUUUCGUGUUCCGGACACCGCUGCUGCUGGCCUGGAGAUUGCCGUAGUCCCCAGCGGCAGGAACCCCGCGAUCUAACAUCUAUAUGUAUCAAAUGGAGUACCCCUUUAAAGUGAAUCUGCCAUCAGUAUCAACUGCACUAACCUGUAGGGGGGCUUGGGAACGUCCCUUGCUGCAAGCACCUCAUUACCAUAUCCAGAAGACCGGGGAUUACAGAAGAACAGAACCAUGGACAGAAGAUCGAUAAGUAUGGUUUUCAUCCUUGUCCGCGUCAGGUCAGUGCAGUCGAUACUGAUAACAGAUUUCCUUUAGCUUGCAGUGCUGGAGUACUUUUAAAAAAAAUAAAAUAUGCUUAUAGAAUGCACUGAUGUUUAGAAAGGUCUUUUCUACAGCCGUGAUAGCUGUUUAGUGGGAUCAUAACCACUAAUAGAUUCUCUUUGAAUUCUGAAAUGUUCAGAUGCACAUAUAGCACCAAUUUAUUGUUACAUUAAUAGCACCUUAUUGUAAGAAACAAGUAUGAAAAGUUAUAUAUUUACUUAUUUCACACAUAUUGUAAUUUUAGCUGCACAUUCACCUUUAUAUAAUGCCUUGUGUUUAAAUAGAUGUAGACAAAUAUGAAUUUGAAAAAAGGACUGAGAGGACUGAAUUGGCAGUAAUGGAAAUUCCCCCUACUCCCCAGUAGAUAUUUACAGUAUGGUUUCCUACAUAUCUACACAUUGUCUAUACAGUGUUUUUUUUUUAAUUAUAAAUGUAACCUUGUGGGAUUUGUACAAAAAAGUGGAUAUUUCUGUAAUAUUUUGAAUUAUUAUAUUCUAACAAUAUUAGCGGUCACGCUUAUCUAUUACUGUUAAUCUGUGAAUGUUAGUGUUCACGGUAGCUAACUCCUACAGAUGUGUGAGGACAAAGUAGAGAAGUUGUUAGCCAUCAAAAAAAAUGUAAAAAGACAUAUUUUAUAUCACUAUUAAAUAGAACAAAUGACCUGUACAGACCUCAGUUUAAAGAGAUCUUCCCAUCCCAACAACAGCAUGCUGAGAGCUGGAUGGUAAUUGUGUCCCAUCGACCCUAAAAGAGAUACCUCUAUAUAGCUCUCGCUUGUCACCAAACAGGUUGAUGAUAUCUAUAUAUAUAUAUAUAUAUAUACACACACAAUUAUAUUAAUUUGUUCUGAAUGGGAACAGUUAGCACCUACCUCUUUAAAAUUGUCAGUGGCUGGCUACUAAUGUCUCUACCUUUAAGUCCUAUAUGUAAUUUAAUUGCAAUAUUGUUAAGCUAUGUUGUGUUUUGGCCCCAAAGUGGAUGGGGUAUUAUAGUGAUUUAAUAACCAACUAAAGUCUAGGAUAGAGUACAUUGUGUUCAGUGUAGGCUGACUGUUAAUCUAAUCUCUAUUCUAUGUGUAAUAUUUAUGGGCAGUAAUGUCUGUCAGAGAGAAGGCGUUGAUGGUCAAGAAUGCUUUAAGUGGUGUUUUGUAUAUGCUACUAAAUUUAUAAAAGAGGACCUUUCAGUAUACAUUGUGCUAUCCCUCUGUUAACCCUCCUGUAAAUAUAUGAAUAUAUUAAUAUUGUCAAUAAGGUGUGCCCCUAUAAUGUUUAAAACUGCAAGCAAUGUUUGGACAGUGUUAGACUGUAUAGGUACACUCCUCUUAGACAAGUGGAAUGCUUAAGCCCAUUUGAUAAUUCAAAGGACAACUGUCAGCUCUAUACAAUACUCAGAGCUUCAAAGAUCGACAGAUAGCUGAUAGCAACAAAAAACAAAUUAUACUUGUUGAGCAGUUGAUGGGUGUUUGCAAAGUCAUAAAAUCAUUUUUUACUUCUAAGCUCAAGAGUCCUGGAGGCCAUGCUGAACUGCAGCAUACAUGCAUCCUCUCCCAUUUUUCCCUGCCCUGCAUGAUUGAUGUACAAGGCUUAAUGCUUGAAGCCAAACCCUUUAUAUCAGUCAUGCAGGGCAGAGAGGGGUGGGGGAGGGAGGAGGAAUGUAUGCUGCAGCUCAGCCUCCAUGACUCUUGAGCUUAGAAGUGAAACAUAAAUUUAUAAUGUUGCAAAUCAUCAACUAAAAGAUAAGGUAUAAUUUGCUUUAUCUCCUUAUUAGAUAUCUGCCCAUGUCUGCAGCCCUGAGUAUUGUAUAGAACUGACAGAUUCCUUUUAAUCAGACACUUCCAGGAGGAAAACAGAGGAAUGUCACAAUGCAGUCUAAGGUAAUAGAUAUACUAGAACUGAAAGGUCUUCCUUAUGCCUUUACAAAAACAAACAACAACACUAAGGAGGUUGUCAGCUUUAGACUGCUGCAGGUUCCACACUCACUAGCAUCUGGGACCUCAUGAUCAGUCUCAAGUGUUGGUAGAACUGCUCAGUAAAUGUUUACUUUCUGUGCAAGGAUGCCAGAGGAUUCCUAGAAAAAUAAAAAAGGGGAAUGACACUGUCUAAAGCAGACAACAUUUUUAACUUUUAAUUUAGCACUACAAGCCCACAACACGAAUGGAUAAAUGGAUACUAUAUUUUCUAUAUAUACUUUUGUGAUAAUAGUAAAGAAGAAAAAAAAAACAUUCUCUUUCCAAAUAUGAGGGCUUUUUCACACUUUUUCACUGCAUUGCUGUAACACAAAGGCUGACCGAUAAUGCACUAUUUAUAGCACAUAGUUUUAUAGCUAGAAAAGGGCUUAUCAUGUUUUGCGCUCAUAUUAUUUUUACAAUGAUAUUUUAUAGCUAGAACAUGGAUUGCACAGGAUAUUUAGUUGGGCACCAGUUUUAUCAGGAAAAGAAAAAUGUUUACAAACUUAUUUAAAAACAUUAAAUAAUUAAAGAUUUAAAGUACAGAAUAUUUCAUAUUAAUGGAUGGGUUUAAAAAAAAUAUUUUUUUUUAUUUUUCAAAAUAAAAAAACAUACUGUUUUGCAGAUUGGAAACUUUGAUAAUAUGGCUACGAUUAUAUGAUGAUAUUGGCUGCGACAAAAGGUGUGAGGCCAUAGAUCAUCAUGUCACGCUUAAGGGAACAUGCUGCAUGGCAGCUAAUGGAAGUGAUCUUUUUUGCGUUUGUCAGGUCACGGUUGCAACCACUUGUGGGUCACAAUGCAACUCCAUUCAGUAACAUUAGCUGCCGUGCAGCACAAUCCCCUUAGUAUGACACAGCAAGCUUUGGAAGCACAACCCAUGUUGCAGCCAAAGUUGCUGUGUAGCCCUAGCCUUAAACUAAUUGUCUUCCUAGAGAAAAUCCUUGUUUUUUUUAGGAUAAUGAGAUUCAUGAGUAUGUUACAUGCACUAAGAGAGAUGGAUAGGAUAUAACUAUAUAUACCUACAUAUAAUGUAAUAAUGCAUAUUUAUAUGUAAAGUAUUCUUUUGGUGAUUUUCUCUUGUAGCUGUGGUGCUUUUCUAGAAAUAAAUAUUAUCCUUUAC
This is a long non-coding RNA of Hyla sarda, 10254 nucleotides long. RefSeq lists it as uncharacterized. The transcript is spliced from 3 exons. The record is from RefSeq and is a predicted model, not a curated record. NCBI's taxonomy places the organism in Eukaryota, Metazoa, Chordata, Amphibia, Anura, Hylidae.